Molecule: unclassified non-coding RNA, 397 nt
Filed under: uncultured bacterium
Lineage: Bacteria
Description: contains 16S-23S intergenic spacer region
Source: RNAcentral
UCCGAGUUGACCCCGGCAGUCUCCCACGAGUCCCCGGCAUAACCCGCUGGCAACAUGGGACAAGGGUUGCGCUCGUUGCGGGACUUAACCCAACAUCUCACGACACGAGCUGACGACAACCAUGCACCACCUGUCACCGUUGCCCCCGAAGGGGAAACUAUGUCUCCGUAGAGCGCCGGCUUUCACCGGCUUUACCCCGCAUGUCAAGCCCAGGUAAGGUUCUUCGCGUCGCGUCGAAUUAAGCCACAUGCUCCGCCGCUUGUGCGGGCCCCCGUCAAUUCCUUUGAGUUUUAAUCUUGCGACCGUACUCCCCAGGCGGUCUACUUCACGCGUUAGCUGCGUUACCAAGUCAAUUAAGACCCGACAACUAGUAGACAUCGUUUAGGGCGUGGACUAC